RNAcentral lists this ribosomal RNA (497 nucleotides) under uncultured bacterium. RNAcentral describes it as "partial 16S ribosomal RNA". It matches the Rfam family "Bacterial small subunit ribosomal RNA", at positions 28 to 507 of the family's 1533-position model. The record is from RNAcentral.
GAUGAACGCUGGCGGCGUGCCUAAUACAUGCAAGUCGAACGAACAGACGAUGAGCUUGCUCUCUUGCCGUUAGCGGCGGACGGGUGAGUAACACGUGUAUAACCUACCUAUUAGACUUGGAUAACUUCGUGAAACCGGAGCUAAUACCGCAUAAUAUAUCUAACCGCAUGAUUCAAUAGUGAUAGACGGUUUUCCCGUCACUUAUAGAUGGAUCCGCGCCGCAUUAGCUAGUUGGUAAGGUAACGGCCUACCAAGGCAACGAUGCGUAGCCGACCUGAGAGGGUGAUCGGCCACACUGGAACUGAGACACGGUCCAGACUCCUACGGGAGGCAGCAGUGGGGAAUCUUCCGCAAUGGGCGAAAGCCUGACGGAGCAACGCCGCGUGAGUGAUGAAGGUCUUCGGAUCGUAAAACUCUGUUAUUAGGGAAGAACGAAUGUGUGAGUAUAUAUGGACGUCUUGACGGUACCUAAACAGAAAGCCACGGCUAACUACGUG